UUAAGCUACUAAGAGCACACGGAGGAUGCCUAGGCGCUAGGAGCCGACGAAGGACGUGGCGAACAACGAAACUGCCUCGGGGAGCUGUAAGCAAGCUUUGAUCCGGGGGUGUCCGAAUGGGGAAACCCGGCUGGUGUAAUAGCCAGUCACUCACAUCUGAAUACAUAGGGUGUGAAGAGGCAUACCAGGGGAACUGAAACAUCUAAGUACCCUGAGGAAGAGAAAACAAAAGUGAUUCCGUCAGUAGCGGCGAGCGAACGCGGAUUAGCCUAAACCAGAGAGCUUGCUCUCUGGGGUUGUGGGACGUCUCACAUGGAGUUACAAAGGAAGAGGUUAGACGAACAGGUCUGGAAAGGCCGGCCAUAGAAGGUAAAAGCCCUGUAAUCGAAAGUCUGUUCCCUCCGAGACGGAUCCCGAGUAGUGCGGGGCACGUGAAACCCCGUAUGAAUCUGCCAGGACCAUCUGGUAAGGCUAAAUACUCCCUAGCGACCGAUAGUGAAGCAGUACCGUGAGGGAAAGGUGAAAAGCACCCCGGGAGGGGAGUGAAAAAGAACCUGAAACCGUGUGCUUACAAGAAGUCAGAGCCCUAUUUAUGGGUGAUGGCGUGCCUUUUGUAGAAUGAACCGGCGAGUUACGUUCCCGUGCAAGGUUAAGGUGAAGAGCCGAAGCCGCAGCGAAAGCGAGUCUGAAUAGGGCGACUUAGUACGUGGACGUAGACCCGAAACCGGGUGAUCUACCCCUGUCCAGGGUGAAGGUGCGGUAACACGCACUGGAGGCCCGAACCCACGUAUGUUGAAAAAUGCGGGGAUGAGGUGGGGGUAGCGGAGAAAUUCCAAUCGAACUCGGAGAUAGCUGGUUCUCCCCGAAAUAGCUUUAGGGCUAGCCUCGGUGAAUAGAGUCGUGGAGGUAGAGCACUGAUUGGGUGCGGGGCCCGCCAAGGGUUACCAAGCUCAGUCAAACUCCGAAUGCCAUGGACUUAUAAGCGGGAGUCAGACAGUGAGUGCUAAGAUCCAUUGUCAAGAGGGAAACAGCCCAGACCAUCAGCUAAGGUCCCCAAGUGUGUGUUAAGUGGGAAAGGAUGUGGAGUUGCACAGACAACCAGGAUGUUGGCUUAGAAGCAGCCACCAUUUAAAGAGUGCGUAAUAGCUCACUGGUCGAGUGACUCUGCGCCGAAAAUGUAACGGGGCUAAACACACCACCGAAGCUAUGGCUUGAAUCAUCUUCACUGCUUCUUUGAGGCGGUGACUAACGCGGAACAUUUUUGCCGAAAGNAGAAGAGACAGGUAUACAAGUGAGAAUGCCGGUAUGAGUAACGAAAAGAUCAGUGAGAAUCUGAUCCGCCGAAAGCCCAAGGUUUCCUGAGGAAGGUUCGUCCGCUCAGGGUAAGUCGGGACCUAAGGCGAGGCCGAAAGGCGUAGUCGAAGGACAACAGGUUGAAAUUCCUGUACCACCGUAAUCCGCUAUGAGCGAUGGGGUGACGCAGUAGGGUAGUGACGCGAGCUGAUGGAUGCUCGUCCAAGCAGUGAGGCUGAUGUGUAGGCAAAUCCGCACAUCGUUAAGGCUGGGCUGUGAUGGGGAGGGAAAAUUUACAGUACCGAAGGUCAUGAUCUCACACUGCCAAGAAAAGCCUCUAGCCAGGAGAAGGUGCCCGUACCGCAAACCGACACAGGUAGGCGAGAAGAGAAUUCUAAGGCGCGCGGAAGAACUCUCGUUAAGGAACUCGGCAAAAUGACCCCGUAACUUUGGGAGAAGGGGUGCCCCGGUAGUGUGAAUAGCACGAGGGGGCCGCAGUGAAAAGGCCCAAGCGACUGUUUAGCAAAAACACAGGUCUGUGCGAAGCCGUAAGGCGAAGUAUACGGGCUGACGCCUGCCCGGUGCUGGAAGGUUAAGGGGAGCGGUUAGGGGUAACCCGAAGCUGUGAACCGAAGCCCCAGUAAACGGCGGCCGUAACUAUAACGGUCCUAAGGUAGCGAAAUUCCUUGUCAGGUAAAUUCUGACCCGCACGAAUGGCGUAACGACUUGGGCGCUGUCUCAACGAGAGAUCCGGUGAAAUUUUAAUACCUGUGAAGAUGCAGGUUACCCGCGACAAGACGGAAAGACCCCAUGGAGCUUUACUACAGCUUGAUAUUGAACUUUGAUGCGAUUUGUACAGGAUAGGUGGGAGCCUAGGAAUCCGGAGCGCCAGCUUCGGUGGAGGCGCCGUUGGGAUACCACCCUGAUCGUAUCGAAGUUCUAACCUGGGACCGUGAUCCGGUUCGGGGACAGUGUCAGGCGGGUAGUUUGACUGGGGCGGUCGCCUCCUAAAGAGUAACGGAGGCGCCCCAAGGUUCCCUCAGAAUGGUUGGAAAUCAUUCGCAGAGUGCAAAGGCAAAAGGGAGCUUGACUGCGAGACUGACAAGUCGAGCAGGGACGAAAGUCGGGCUUAGUGAUCCGGUGGUACCGCAUGGAAGGGCCAUCGCUCAACGGAUAAAAGCUACCCUGGGGAUAACAGGCUUAUCUCCCCCAAGAGUCCACAUCGACGGGGAGGUUUGGCACCUCGAUGUCGGCUCAUCGCAUCCUGGGGCUGAAGUAGGUCCCAAGGGUUGGGCUGUUCGCCCAUUAAAGCGGUACGCGAGCUGGGUUCAGAACGUCGUGAGACAGUUCGGUCCCUAUCUGUCGUGGGCGUAGGAAAUUUGAGAGGAGCUGUCCUUAGUACGAGAGGACCGGGAUGGACGCACCGCUGGUGUACCAGUUGUUCCGCCAGGAGCAUAGCUGGGUAGCUACGUGCGGAUGGGAUAAACGCUGAAAGCAUCUAAGCGUGAAGCCCUCCUCAAGAUGAGAUUUCCCAAUUAGUAAGACCCCUUGAAGACGACGAGGUUGAUAGGCCUGAGGUGGAAGUGCAGCAAUGUAUGGAGCUGACAGGUACUAAUCGGUCGAGGGCUUAUCCAA
RNAcentral lists this ribosomal RNA (2928 nucleotides) under Paenibacillus ihumii. RNAcentral describes it as "bacterial LSU rRNA". It matches the Rfam family "Bacterial large subunit ribosomal RNA". The record is from RNAcentral. Lineage: Bacteria; Bacillati; Bacillota; Bacilli; Caryophanales; Paenibacillaceae.